AGUGAACGCUGGCGGUAGGCCUAACACAUGCAAGUCGAACGGCAGCACAGUAAGAGCUUGCUCUUACGGGUGGCGAGUGGCGGACGGGUGAGGAAUACAUCGGAAUCUACUUUUUCGUGGGGGAUAACGUAGGGAAACUUACGCUAAUACCGCAUACGACCUACGGGUGAAAGCAGGGGAUCUUCAGACCUUGCGCGAUUGAAUGAGCCGAUGUCGGAUUAGCUAGUUGGCGGGGUAAAGGCCCACCAAGGCGACGAUCCGUAGCUGGUCUGAGAGGAUGAUCAGCCACACUGGAACUGAGACACGGCCCAGACUCCUACGGGAGGCAGCAGUGGGGAAUAUUGGACAAUGGGCGCAAGCCUGAUCCAGCCAUACCGCGUGGGUGAAGAAGGCCUUCGGGUUGUAAAGCCCUUUUGUUGGGAAAGAAAAGCAGCAGGUUAAUACCCCGCUGUUCUGACGGUACCCAAAGAAUAAGCACCGGCUAACUUCGUG
This 492-nucleotide ribosomal RNA is filed under the name uncultured bacterium. RNAcentral's name for it is "partial 16S ribosomal RNA". It matches the Rfam family "Bacterial small subunit ribosomal RNA", at positions 29 to 507 of the family's 1533-position model. The record is from RNAcentral.